This is a long non-coding RNA of Thamnophis elegans (Western terrestrial garter snake), 1275 nucleotides long. RefSeq lists it as uncharacterized. The transcript is spliced from 2 exons. NCBI's taxonomy places the organism in Eukaryota, Metazoa, Chordata, Lepidosauria, Squamata, Natricidae. The record is from RefSeq and is a predicted model, not a curated record.
GCCGCCGCCGGCUUAGCCAGUCAAGUCGGCAAGCACCAAUAACAACAGCGCGCGUGCGGAACGCCGGCCCUUGACGCGCGCGCCCGCGCGCGCCCCAGUAUCCCACAUUCAGCGCGCGCCCGCCCUCCCUUUCUUCCUGGCCAGCAAACAAACGGGCGAGGGCACGCGCGAUGAAAAGGAACCGUCACGUAAGACAGCAGAGGAGAGCACGUGUCACCACACAACCCUCCCUUCUGGGGUUUGAGGGUUGGUGUUUUUUUUGUGGGCGGGGCUCCAGCUCGCUGGAACAAACGGAUAAUGAAGUCUCCAGCACAUGGUGGCUCCGCCCCAUUCCGCCUCGUCCUGCUUGAAAUUCGUCACGUGAGGAAGGAAGGUGCCGCGAGGACAUAGAAAACGAUUUAAAAAAAAAUAAAAACCAGGUUCUGUCACAGCGUCGCUCCCUCCCUCCCUCCUCCUUAUGCAACCGCGCGUUGACGGGCAGAAGGGAGCGCCGCACGGAAACAUCGCUCUUGACUUUGUUUCUCCGGUUUCGAGAGGCUGAAAGAGCUCUGACAGCAAUAGCUGAGCGAGCAUCACCGUGUCUCCCGCCUCGGAUACUUUUCUCUCAGAACUGAGCCGAAAGACAGCCCCUCACUGGGUUGUCACGUCAGUUGUUGUUUUUUACCCACUACAUUAUUUUUUGGUCCGUCCGUUCACUUUCGGUGCCCCUAAAAUAAGCCGUUACACAAUUUGGAUGGGGUUUCCCCGUCUCGUCAAUAUUUUUAAGGCAUUCUGGAAAUGCUGCUUAUGUUUGAGCGCCUCGAUGUUAAAUUUGCCCUUGCAGUUUUAUGCGGCGAUCUCUUGCCAAGCUGAAGGGAUUCAGCACCCCAAGUGCAGUAGAUGGGAAUGUGAAAGCAGAUAAUUAAAUAAAUGAUAUUAAUUUUGAAUGUACUUUAAACAAUGUUGGGAAUUUAAAAUGUUAAUGAUUGGGGAAGGGGGAUUCGUGAGAUAUUUUCUGGGAAGAAAAAAUAGGGUAAAUAACUGGAAAAACUAAAAAAAGGUGAAAUACAGGGUGUACAGUGAUGUUAAUUAACUAUAUGUAAAAUUGAAUAAGAAAUGAUAAAGAACUAUGUAAAGAAUAAUACCAUGGAAGCUGCAAUUGCAAAGCUAUGGUUAAAAAUGAUUAAUUUGUAAAGAUGAAUUAAUAGUAAUUGAAGAAAAGAAGAAAAGAGUGUUUAGUAAUGAUAUAUAAGCUUAAAUGAAUUAAUGGAAAAACAUAAAGGAUUAUAUAAAAGA